AGUCGAACGGCAGCACGGGCUUCGGCCUGGUGGCGAGUGGCGAACGGGUGAGUAAUACAUCGGAACGUGCCCUGUAGUGGGGGAUAACUAGUCGAAAGAUUAGCUAAUACCGCAUACGACCUGAGGGUGAAAGCGGGGGACCGCAAGGCCUCGCGCUACAGGAGCGGCCGAUGUCUGAUUAGCUAGUUGGUGGGGUAAGAGCCUACCAAGGCGACGAUCAGUAGCUGGUCUGAGAGGACGAUCAGCCACACUGGGACUGAGACACGGCCCAGACUCCUACGGGAGGCAGCAGUGGGGAAUUUUGGACAAUGGGGGCAACCCUGAUCCAGCAAUGCCGCGUGUGUGAAGAAGGCCUUCGGGUUGUAAAGCACUUUUGUCCGGAAAGAAAUGGCCUGGGUGAAUACCCCGGGUCGAUGACGGUACCGGAAGAAUAAGCACCGGCUAACUACGUGCCAGCAGCCGCGGUAAUACGUAGGGUGCGAGCGUUAAUCGGAAUUACUGGGCGUAAAGCGUGCGCAGGCGGUUUUGUAAGACAGGCGUGAAAUCCCCGAGCUUAACUUGGGAAUGGCGCUUGUGACUGCAAGGCUAGAGUAUGUCAGAGGGGGGUAGAAUUCCACGUGUAGCAGUGAAAUGCGUAGAGAUGUGGAGGAAUACCGAUGGCGAAGGCAGCCCCCUGGGACGUCACUGACGCUCAUGCACGAAAGCGUGGGGAGCAAACAGGAUUAGAUACCCUGGUAGUCCACGCCCUAAACGAUGUCAACUAGUUGUUGGGGAUUCAUUUCUUCAGUAACGUAGCUAACGCGUGAAGUUGACCGCCUGGGGAGUACGGUCGCAAGAUUAAAACUCAAAGGAAUUGACGGGGACCCGCACAAGCGGUGGAUGAUGUGGAUUAAUUC
This 896-nucleotide ribosomal RNA is filed under the name uncultured soil bacterium. RNAcentral's name for it is "bacterial SSU rRNA". It matches the Rfam family "Bacterial small subunit ribosomal RNA", at positions 60 to 952 of the family's 1533-position model. The record is from RNAcentral.